Long non-coding RNA from Antechinus flavipes (yellow-footed antechinus), 530 nucleotides. RefSeq lists it as uncharacterized. The transcript has 2 exons. The record is from RefSeq and is a predicted model, not a curated record. Lineage: Eukaryota; Metazoa; Chordata; Mammalia; Dasyuromorphia; Dasyuridae.
CUGGUCUCCACGUGCAGAAUGAGACACUUUCGGACAUAACUUCCAUGGGAAUUUGUUUUCCUUGACUCCUAAUCUGUUGCAAGGCUGACACCAUAAUAACAGAGAGGAGCCCUUUGGGAGAAGAGAGCGGCAGAGAGAGCUUCGGAAGAUUUGAGAGAUCAAAAAUUGGGGAAAUUUACAGAGAUGAUUAUAGAUGGAUUUUAAAUAACACGGGCCUAACCGGGCCCUAUGCAUGUAUUUAAAUGACGACUUUAAAAAUACCUUUUAAAGCUGCAGAAUUCUGUUACAAGGCCCGGCGUGAUCCCAGGGCUGUGCCCUAUGUGAGGUACGGGGGCGCCUUUGUGUGGAUCUACUCUCUUUGCUCCCCCUUCUCCUUAUUUCCUACCAUGAGGGGAAUUGGGAAAUUGGGGCCAGAAGCUGCAUCCUCUGGUCUCCUCAGAGAAAAGGGUUUGGGAUAAAGUUCUAUCUGUCUGCUCCCUUAAAUAUUAUGAUAAUCUUUAAUAAAUUUAAUAUUAUUAUUAUUCAUCAUA